This 254-nucleotide ribosomal RNA is filed under the name uncultured bacterium. RNAcentral describes it as "partial 16S ribosomal RNA". It matches the Rfam family "Bacterial small subunit ribosomal RNA", at positions 524 to 779 of the family's 1533-position model. The record is from RNAcentral.
UACGAAGGGUGCAAACGUUGCUCGGAAUUAUUGGGCGUAAAGCGCACGUAGGCGGCUUGGAUAGUCGGAUGUGAAAGCCCUUGGCUCAACCAGGAAGUGCGCCCGAAACUGCAGAGCUUGAGUGCCGGAGAGGGUGGCGGAAUUCCCCAAGUAGAGGUGAAAUUCGUAGAUAUGGGGAGGAACACCGGUGGCGAAGGCGGCCACCUGGACGGAACUGACGCUGAGACGCGAAAGCGUGGGGAGCAAACAGGAUA